RNAcentral lists this unclassified non-coding RNA (334 nucleotides) under Hevea brasiliensis (rubber tree). The record is from RNAcentral. Lineage: Eukaryota; Viridiplantae; Streptophyta; Magnoliopsida; Malpighiales; Euphorbiaceae.
AAAAAAAAAAAAAAACCCUCCAAAAUCUUGUUAACGAGAACAAAAGGCAUAGGGAAGUUUAAGAAGAAUCCACCUUAGUUAAGGAGCAUAAAAAGAGACUAGACAAACAAAAGGCAUUUCACUCAGAAAAAAAAAAGAGGAGCUUGCAGUGUCAGCAACAUGUACUAUUGUAUAAGAUGACAAGCAAAGUAGUUUAAAUUACCAUCAGAACUAAUCAUCAUAUUUUUUUGCUGAAUAGUACAUGCUAACUACAUCACAUGUACGUAAUGCCUUAACUCAUUCGAUUGGUAACUAUAUGGGAAAAUAUUACCUGUACAUCGCUGCUAUUAGGGCA